Molecule: ribosomal RNA, 402 nt
Filed under: bacterium
Lineage: Bacteria
Description: partial 16S ribosomal RNA
Rfam family: Bacterial small subunit ribosomal RNA
Source: RNAcentral
UGGGGAAUUUUGCACAAUGGGGGAAACCCUGAUGCAGCGACGCCGCGUGAUUUAGAAGGCCUUCGGGUUGUAAAAAUCUUUUCUAUGGGAAGAAAAUGACAGUACCAUAGGAAUAAGGACCGGCUAAUUACGUGCCAGCAGCCGCGGUAAUACGUAAGGUCCGAGCGUUGUCCGGAAUCAUUGGGCGUAAAGGGUACGUAGGCGGGUAAGCAAGUUAGAAGUGAAAUCCUAUAGCUCAACUAUAGUAAGCUUUUAAAACUGCUCAUCUUGAGGUAUGGAAGGGAAAGUGGAAUUCCUAGUGUAGAGGUGAAAUGCGCAGAUAUUAGGAGGAAUACCGGUGGCGAAGGCGACUUUCUGGCCAUAACCUGACGCUGAGGUACGAAAGCGUGGGUAGCAAACAGG